This 216-nucleotide long non-coding RNA is filed under the name Carica papaya (papaya). Its description in RNAcentral is "long non-coding RNA (CPAP_LNC006355)". Lineage: Eukaryota; Viridiplantae; Streptophyta; Magnoliopsida; Brassicales; Caricaceae. The record is from RNAcentral.
UACACGUGAACUAUUUUCUUUAACAAUCUCAAUUACGGGCCAUCCUCAUACCCCGUCUGGUAUGAGCGCCAAUUAUCAAACCUCAAUACCCCGUUCGGCAUGAGGGUGAAGCGGGUCGUCCCUAUACCCCGUUCGGUAUGAGCAUCAAAUCAUCAAGUCUCCAUACCCCGUCCGAUAUGAGACAACGUUUACGGUAGGGUUCCCUAUGCACUCGGU